RNAcentral lists this long non-coding RNA (2540 nucleotides) under Homo sapiens (human). Its description in RNAcentral is "non-protein coding lnc-RAB23-5:2". Lineage: Eukaryota; Metazoa; Chordata; Mammalia; Primates; Hominidae. The record is from RNAcentral.
ACCAUAGGCUUCAAGGCGCUCUAAUAUCCGCUUGGAAAUACUACAACCACAGCGUUUCAAACUGCUCUAUCCAAAGGAAGGUUCCACUCUGUGACUUGAGUGCACACAACCAAAGAAAUUUCGGAGAAUUCUUCUGUCUAGAUUUAUACGAAGAAAUCCCGUUUCCAACGAAGACCCAAAGGAGGUCCAAAUAUCCACUUGCAGAUCCUUCAGAAAGAGGGUUUCAAAACUGCUCUAUCAAGAGAAAUGUUCAACUCUGUGAGUUGAAUGCAGACAUCACAAAGUCGUUUCUGAGAUUGGUUCUGUCUAGGUUUUAUGAGAAGAUAUUUCCUUUUCUACCAUACGCUUCAAGGCGUUCCAAAUAUCCGCUUGGAAAUACUACAAAAACAGUGUUUCAAAACUGCUCUAUCAAAAGGAAGGAUCCACACUGUGAGUUGAAUUCACACAUCACAAAGAAGUCUCUGAGAAUUCUUCUGUCUGGGUUUAUAGGAAGAAAUCCCGUUUCCAACGAAGGCCUCAAAGAGGUCCAAAUAUCCACUUGCAGAUUCUACAGAAACAAUGUUUCCAAACUGCUCUAUCAAGAGGAAUGUUGCACUCGGUGAGUUGAAUGCACACAUCACAAAGGAGUUUCUGAGAUUGCUUCUGUCUAGCUUUUAUGCAAAGAUAUUUCCUUUUCUACCAUAGAACUCAAAGCGCUCUUAGUAUACACUUCCAAAUUCUACAAAGACAGUGUUACUAAACUGCUCUAUCAAAGGAAAUGUUAAACUCUGUGAGUUGAACACAGACAUCACAAAGCAGUUUCUGAGAACACUUCUGUCUGCCUUUUACGUGAAGACAUUCCCUUUUCCAAAGAAUGCCUCCAAGGGCUCAAAAUAUCCACUUGUAGACUUUACAAAGAGAGUGUUUCAAAACUUCUCUACCAAAAGAAAGUUUAAAGACGGUGAGUUCAACGCACACAUCACAAAGUUGUUUCUGAGAAUGAUUCUAUCUAUGUUUUCCAUGAAGAUGUUUCCUUUUCUAUCAUAGGCUUCAAAGUGGUCUAAAUAUCCACUUGGAAAUCCUACAAGAACAGGGUUUCAAAACUUCUCUAUCAAACGGAAGACUCCACUCUGUGAGAUGAACGCACACAUCACAAUGAGGUUUCUGAAAAUUCUUCUGUCUAGGGUUAUAGGAAGAAAUCCCGUUUCCAACGAGGGCCUCAAAGAGGUCCAAAUAUCCACCUGCAGUUUCUACAAAAAGAGUGUUUCAACACUGCUCUAUAAAGAGGAAAGUUCCACUCUGUGAGUUGAAUGUACACAUCACAAAGUAGUUUCUGAGAUUGCUUCUGUCUAGGUUUUAGGUGAAGUUAUUUCCUUUUCUACUGUGGGCUUCAAUGCGCUCUAAAUAUACACAUGCAAAUAUUACAAAAAGAGUGUUUCAAAACUGCUCUAUCAAAAGAAAAGUUUUACUCUAUGAGUUGAACGCACACAUCACAAAGCAGAUUCUGAGAAUUAUUCUGUCUAGUUUUUAUAGGAAGAUGUUUCUUUUUCUGCCGUAGGCUCAAUGCGCUAUAAAUAUCCCCUUGGAAAUCCUACAAAAACAGUGUUUCCAAACUGCUCUGUGAAAAGGGAGGUUUCACUCUUUGAAUUGAAUGCACACAUCACAAAGGAGUUUCUGAGAAUUCUUCAAUCUAGAGUUACAUGAAGAAAUCCCGUUUCCAAAGAAGGCCUCCAAUAGGUCCAAAUAUCCACUUGCAGCUACUACAAGAAGGGUGUUUCAGAAACGCUCUAUCAAAAGAAACGUUACACUCUGUGAGUUGAACGCACACGUCACUAAGCACUUUCUGAGAACGAUUCUAUCUACUUUUUACAUGAAGAUGUUUCCUUUUCUAGCAGAGACUUCAAAGUGCUCUAAAUAUCCACUUGGGAAUUCUACAAAAACGGUGUCUCAAAACUGCUCUAUCAAAGGGAAUGUUCCAUUCUGUGAGUCGAAUGCACACAUCCGAUGAAGUUACUGAGAAUUCUUCUCUGUAGGUUUAGAUGGAGAAAUCCCGUUUCCAACGAAGGCCUCUAGGAGGUCCAAUUAUCCACUUGCAGAUUCUACAGAAAGAGUGUUUCAAAACUGCUCUAUCAAGAGAAAUGGUCCACCGUGUGUGUGGAAUGCAGCCAUCACACAUUAGUUUCUGAGAUUGCUUCUGUCUUGGUUUUAUGGGGAGAUAUUUCCAUUUCUAGCAUAGGCUUCAAGGCGCUCUAAAUAUCCGCUUGGAAAUACUACAAAAACAGUGUUUCAAAACUGCUGUAUCCAAAGGAAGGUGCCACUCGCUGAGUUGAAUGCACACAUCACAAAGAAGUUUCUGAGAAUUCUUCUGUCUAGAUUUAUACGAAGAAAUCCCGUUUCCAACGAAGGCCUCAAAGAAGUCCAAAUAUCCCAUUGCAAAUUCUACAAAAGGAGUGUUUCCCAACUGCUCUGUCAAGAGGAAUGUUGCACUCUGUGACUUGAAUGCAAACAUCACAUAGCAGUGUUUGAGAAUUCUUCUAUCUAGAGUAACAUGAAGAAAUCCC